GACGAACGCUGGCGGCGUGCCUAAUACAUGCAAGUUGAGCGCUGAAGGUUGGUACUUGUACCGACUGGAUGAGCAGCGAACGGGUGAGUAACGCGCGGGGAAUCUGCCUUUGAGCGGGGGACAACAUUUGGAAACGAAUGCUAAUACCGCAUAAAAACUUUAAACACAAGUUUUAAGUUUGAAAGAUGCAAUUGCAUCACUCAAAGAUGAUCCCGCGUUGUAUUAGCUAGUUGGUGGGGUAAAGGCUCACCAAGGCGAUGAUACAUAGCCGACCUGAGAGGGUGAUCGGCCACAUUGGGACUGAGACACGGCCCAAACUCCUACGGGAGGCAGCAGUAGGGAAUCUUCGGCAAUGGACGAAAGUCUGACCGAGCAACGCCGCGUGAGUGAAGAAGGUUUUCGGAUCGUAAAACUCUGUUGGUAGAGAAGAACGUUGGUGAGAGUGGAAAGCUCAUCAAGUGACGGUAACUACCCAGAAAGGGACGGCUAACUACGU
This 496-nucleotide ribosomal RNA is filed under the name uncultured bacterium. Its description in RNAcentral is "partial 16S ribosomal RNA". It matches the Rfam family "Bacterial small subunit ribosomal RNA", at positions 28 to 506 of the family's 1533-position model. The record is from RNAcentral.